Molecule: long non-coding RNA, 278 nt
Organism: Clupea harengus (Atlantic herring)
Lineage: Eukaryota; Metazoa; Chordata; Actinopteri; Clupeiformes; Clupeidae
Exons: 2
Source: RefSeq, a predicted model, not a curated record
UCUCUUCUGGAGGAUCCCAACUGUAAACUGGAGAAACUAGGCCUGAUGCUCUGCAGUAUUACAGAUAAAGGCCUCAGAUCUUUACUAUCAGCAGUGAGAUCAAACCCAUCAGCACUCAGAGAGCUUCAUCUGAAUGGGAAUCAGCCCGGACCCUCAGCACUGCAGCUGUUCUCUGAACUUCAGAAAGAUCCCAACUGUAAACAUAUCAACAUAUCUGGAGUCUCAGACAAACAAUGUGUCAUACAAUAAAUAUUCCUCUACAUUGUGUAUAAAACAAA